RNAcentral lists this long non-coding RNA (7551 nucleotides) under Sus scrofa (pig). RNAcentral's name for it is "lncRNA (ENSSSCG00000059892.1)". The record is from RNAcentral. Lineage: Eukaryota; Metazoa; Chordata; Mammalia; Artiodactyla; Suidae.
CUGCUGAAGGAAGGGAUGCUGAGCCAAGGAGCGGUGAAGACGAUCGGGGAUGUGCUGAAUGAGGAGUCCGGACACUCUAAGUCCCUCCUGGAGUCCCUGCAGGCUGACAUGAUCUUCGAGAGUGACAAGUAAGGCUCCUCCAACCCUCAGAACAGAGGAAGGAACCUUGGAUUAUUGAGUCAUUACUAUGUGCCAGGCACCCUGCUAAGCCCUUAACAGGAAUUGUCACAUUUAAUGCUAACAUCACCUGGAAAGUAGGCACUGUACUUCAGAGCCAUUUUGGUGAUGAUGCUGAGGCUCAGAAAAGUUAUGUAACUUACCCAGGGUCAUGCAACAUGGGCAAGGGCUAGAGCCAAAAUCCAAACCCAGGGCUUCAGGACUCUUCCUUGCAUGGUGGCUGAAUCCACAGGCUUUGGAGCUAGACUGUGCGUGUCAUCAUGGGACAGUCCCUUUUCUCUGGGUGUUCAUUUUCCAACGUAUAAAAUUCUACAGUAAUCCCUCCCUUACAGAGAUUAGUUAAGGUGAUGUAUGUGAAGCAUCCAGCGUGGGCCACAGGAGGCUAGUUUCCUCCUUUUUCAGACCGGGAUCUCUGCUGCAACCCAGCAAGCCAACCUUGGGCGUACCACAUUCACCCUCUCUCUUCUCUUCACCCAUGCGGCUUUUCUGAGAUCACUGGUGGCUUUGACCAGCUCCCCAAAGCCCUCAAUAUGAGCUUGAAGCCUGGCACCAUCCAUCUAGGCUCCAGGAUGAAGACAGUAGUGAGAGAUGGGCCUGAGGUCCGGAUUUCCUACCAAGUGGGCAAACCCAACUCAACGCUACACACCCUCACCGCAGACUUUGUUAUCAUUUCGCGCCUCAUCACCUUUGAGCCACCACUCUCACUGGGCAAGAUGGAUGCGCUUCGCUCGGUGCAUCACACCAGCGCCACCAAAGUGGUUCUGGCCUGCCACGAGUCCUUCUGGGAGCGGAUGGCAUCCGGGGCGGGAUCUCCAUCACCGACCGGCCCUCACGCUACAUCUACUACCCCAGCCACAGCUUCCCCAGCGGCAAGGGUGUCCUGCUAGCCUCCUACACCGUGGACGAUGAUUCCCUCUUCUUUCUAUCCAUGAACCAGGACCAGGUAGUGGAUAUCGUCUUGGAGGACCUGGCGGCCGUGCACCAGAUGCCCAAGGAGGAGCUGCGGCGCAGGUGCCCCUCGUCUGUGCUCAAGCGCUGCCUCUGGAGCCCCUCAUCAUGGGCGCUUUCACUGAGUUCACACCCCAUCAACUUGCGGACUAUUCACAGCAGCUCUUCCAGCCAGAGGACCGCAUCUACUUUGCUGGCGAGCAUACCAGCCUGCCCCACGCCUGGAUAGACACUGCCAUUAAGUCUGGCCUCCGGGCAGCUAGGGACAUCCAGGCUGCUGUGGACGAGGAGGCCACAGGGGGACAGAAGACCUUCACCAACACCCAGGACCAUGUCUAACGCUGAGAGAAAUCCCUGAGGGAAUCUGGCAGGAAGCAAGCUGCAAAGUGGGAGCUGGAGGCAGAGACCCUGGGGAGAUAUCACCAUUUGUCCCCCUGGCCCACAAACAGGAACCCCAAAAUACCAAAGAACCCAGUUGGCAAGUCCACAGGAAACAUCGCCCCCUUUUGGCGUCUCUCUCCUGCCAGCAAAGAGAAGGAUCAGCAGAGUCAGGAGAGAUAUUUGGAGAGAGAAAGAAAAACUCAAGGAUGGAGUGUGCUAGAACCAGUCCUGAGCUUGCAUAAUAGUAACAAGCAAAAGAGAAACGUUUCAGCAACACCCUGUCAUCUACAACUAGAAGCCCCUAAAGAAACAGGCAAACCCAAACCACAGCAGUGUUAAACCACAGAUUGGCCACACAAACCCGCAGCACAGCAAACUUGAGCCAAGGCCUCCCAUCUCUGCCCACCCGCAGUCCAGAUGGAUGGGAGAGAUCAGAGUUCUUUUUUCUCUUUUUGAGCCUGCUCGAGAUCUCCUGGCCUGUGGACUUUUCCUCUCCACUCUGACCUCCGCAUCACCAACCAGAACUCACCCCCCUGCUUUUGCCUCCCCCUGGGAGGACACCAAGCCCAUUCUGCAUGCUUCCUCCCCACGCUGCUCCUCACUAACACCUGCUCGGUCCUUCCAGGCCCAAGUGAAAUUAUUUCCUCUCCCAAAUCCUUCCUUAAUGGACACACAACAAACUCCGAGGAUCUCUCCUGUGAGCCACAAGCCUUCCUACCUAGAAUCCCAAACAUCUGGACUAUGGAUCUUCUUGUGUUGUUAUAUAAUUACUACAUAGGUCAUUUCUGGGUACUUGGGUCCAAGUAGGCAAAAGGAAGAAGUAAAUAAACUGGGAAACCUGAGAACAUUCUUACCAGGAGGACGCUGGAGACCAGUAUGUGAUGAAAUACAGAGUGUUGUGUCCUGAGACUGUCAUUUCACAGGAGGAAGAGAUAGAGAAAAGAAGCACAUUUUCUUACUGCAUUUGGCCUAUUUUUAAGACCCCAGCCUACUUAACUCUGAUUUUCCAAGCACCCUAUAUUAGUAAGGAUGCGUUCCGUUUCAGGUGCUGGAAAUCAAGCCCAAACUGCCUUAAGGGAAAGGGAAUGUCUUGGCUCAAAUUUCUGAAAAGUCCAGAGCGACUGGGUUCUGGAAUCAACAAGUCAUCACCGAGGUUUUCUCUUUCUCCCUUCUUGACUAUGCUUUCCUAAAUUAGUUUCUGUACUAAGUUGAAUGAUGGCGCCAAAAGUUCACAUUCACCCAAAACCUGUGAAGGUGAAUGUAUUUGGGAAUAGGGUCUUUGCAAAUGGAAUCAAGCAAAGAUGAGGUCACACUGGAUUAGGGUGGACCCUAAUCCAAUAAGCGGUGUCCUGAUAAGAAGGAGAUUUGAAUACAAACAUGUACAGAGGAAGACAGCCAUGAACCAACGAUGGAGCCAGAUUGGAGUGAUCCAUCUACAAGCCAGGGAAUCCCAAGGGUUUCUAGAAACCUCCAAAAACUAUGAGGAGGCAUGGAAUAGACUCUCCCUCACGCUCCAGGAGGAAUCAACCCUGCUGACACUUUGAUUUUGAACUUCUAGCCUCCUGCAAGAAAAUAAAUGUUUGCUCUUUUAAGCCAUCUAAUUUUUGAGUGAUUUGUUAUAGGCCCUAGGAAACCAAUACAACUUCCUUUAUUCUUCUGUUAAGGAAUACAGUCAGGAUCAACUCCAAGAUUAUGUCAUCCUAGGUCGUCAUCCAGGGAGAAGAAAGGGCUGCUGUCUCCCAGGCCAUUCAUUUAUGUUUCAUCCUGUCCAUCCACCUGCUUGGCUGCCCACCCCUCAGCCUAGAAAGUAGAUCUUGUCUGACAAGGAGCCCCUUCCGGCUGCCAGGGAAGCAGAUAACGGAAAAAUCUCUUAAGAGGAGUAUGCUAGGCAGAUAAAUGCAACAGAUGUAUACCGAAAAUUGCAACUUCUCUGGGUUAGGCUAGGGAAUAUAGCUGAGCCAUUCCAGGGCUGGGUUAAACCAGCUCCCUUGGGGCUCCCCGUGCAAGACAGUUCACCACCAACAGCCCUGGUACACACAGUGACCCUCCUAGAAACUGGCUCCAUCAAGGGAGGGGUCAUUUUCCAAACUGUCUCUUGCACUGUUUAUCUUUGGUAACCCCAUUAAUGUCAUGACAAAGGCCAUGCCUUCUUGAGGCUCUCAGAAGAGAGGAGGAACCCUGGCCCAGUGGAGUCUAAGUAGAGAAAGGAGAAGAAGGCAGGACCGGGAGAGAACAAGGUCCCUUGGGAAGAGCUCAUCAAGAACCCCUGGGCUAAGAAGAGGACCCUGAAGGAAUAAGUCAGAGAGGAGCACAGGCAAGAACAGGGAAGCAAACAGCGCUCUGUCCAUUGGAUGUAAAAAUGAGGCCCCAGGGAAUUCCCAUUGUGGCACAGUGGAAACGAAGCUGACUAGGAUCCAUGAAGAUGCAGGUUUGAUCCCUGGCCUCGCUCAGUGGGUUAAGGAUCUGGCGUUGCCAUGAGCUGUGGUGUAGGUCACAGUUGCAGCUCGGAUCCCACGUUGCUGGGGCUGUGGUAUGGUCCAGCAGCUGUAGCUCUGGUUCAACCCCUAGCCUGGGAACUUCUAUAUGCCACAGGUAUGGCCCUAAAAAGCAAAAAAAAAAAAAAAAAAAAAAAAAUGAGGCCCCAGGGGCAUGGAGUCAUCUGUGCAGAGAGGAUGGAGCAGGGUGAGGGGAAGUGGAUGGUGGAAGCCAGACUCUGUGGCUUAGAGAUAAAUGACUCCCAGCAUUUGGAUGGGAGUAUUAGGCAGAAAAUGAAAAGGUUCAAAGAUACCACCACACAGAGUUCUUAAUUACAAAAAAAGAUAACAGAAACCAAAUCUGAGUGACUUAAGCUGGAAAGAACUUGAGGAAGAAUAGCAAGAAGCUCACAAAAUUGACAAGAAGGGAAGUGGGAAGAUGCCAAAGGAGACCUGUGGCCUGAGCCACAGUCAAGCUCCUGCCAUAGAAGCAGCCUGGUAAAUGGCACUGUGACCACUGAGCACUGCUGUGGCCAUUGAGACCACCACCACCAGCCAUGAGAUGCUCUUCCUGCUGCCAGAGCUGGUUCUCCACUAUCCACUGCUUCUUCAUUUCUCCCAUAUUCAAAGCCCUAGCUGGCUGAGUCUAGGUUGGUGUCCACUCCCUGGCUGCAGGGUCAGGGAAAGCUAGAAACCAACAACACUCUUUAGCUUUUGAGGUGGGAGGUGAGGUGCUACGUUCCAUCAGACCUUACCGUGGCGGAUUUCCCAGGCACAGGAAACAGGUGUUGCUGCGGGCAGGCAUAAGGCAAGGUCAAGGCCCAAAGGGAAGGACAGGGCACAGACCACCUCUGCUUCGUGAGCCAUUGACCCCCCCCCGAGUCUCGGUUCCUCAGCUGGACAGUCAGGGCCACACCCCACCGUAUCAUGGGUGAAGGGAUUAGAGAGCAUGUACAAAACGACCUAGAGAUUACAUGCCGAUAAAGUGCACAAGCAGGAGGCCUUUGCCUCUAGCGCUUGGAGAGAAUUAUUCCUCAGUUAAGGAUGAGAGCACUAAAGCUCACUGGGACCAAAUAACUUGCUGAAACCUUGACAGCCAGGCAUUGAGACAGAAUUUGCAGCCAGGGAUGCCUGAUUCAGAAGUCUAGGAUGCUGCUAGUCUCGUUGGAGGGAGGAGUAACUGGCCUGACAGAGAUGGGGCAAAAUUCAGACCAAGCAGGCAUUGAGACAGGUGAGGUGGCAGGAGCUUCGUGAAGGCCAAGAUGGGAACAGACCAGAACUGACAACUGUCUGGGUAACAUCCCUAUAAUGCUACACCGCCUCAUUUCCUUUCCUACAUGCUCUCUUGUGGAGGGAAAGAAAAAAGUAGAGUUUAUAGCUCAUAAAACCAAUAGCCUGUCUACAGGUCUCUCCGAAAAAUUUCAGUGGUUAGCCUUUUUUAUCUUUCUACAUCAGAAACUGGGAAUACCCACAGAAAAGUGGGUACCUGUAACAAUCACGCAAUAUGUGCCUUAAUAAAAGCAACAGUUGGGAAUGACUCUAACUCUCAAGAGGUAAAAGCACACCCCGUUCUUCCCCAAAAUGUACCACCCACACAAGCCACCUGGAAUCUAACUCUGGGAUUGCUAAGCUGAAGCUCACUCUAGAAGACUUGAGAGUCUUGAGCAAGCUCCCUUGGAGUCCCUGGGCAUGGCAUAUUUUCAUGCCCCCGGGGGUACCCUUAGAAUACCGUGAGUACAUGAAGGGCCAGGUGCUAGAGUUCCAGAUUAAGAAGCAGUGCCAGAACUUGGAGUUGAGCCCCUUUGGAUGCCAAGAACCCAUUAACAGUUCCCAGGAAAAAGGGUGAGGCAGGAGGGUGGAGAAGGAAGAGAUAGGGGACCCUGCCAGGAACAAAAACUCAGCCCCUCUUCACCCUCCUUUUCCAAGCAUUUAAUACUCAUUGUUGAUGGUUAGUCUUUCUGCUUCACAGACAAGGAAUUGAGGCUCUGAGAGUGAGAUCAAUCCAGGAUGCAGGUGUGAGAGCCUAGACUAGAUGGUAGUAAUAACAGCCGUCAUUAUUGAGUCUUGGUUCAAGUAUUGUGCCAGAACCAUGCAUUCCUUUUCUAACUGAAUCCCCAACCCCUGAAAAACAACCUCUAUGAAACAGUUGUGAUUGUCACCUCCACUUUACAAAAUAAGGAAUUAAGAACCCAGAAAGCUUGUUUUGCACUAAGUUGCAUAAACAGGAUUCUCUAUCUGGUACCCUCUGUGUCUACUAAAAUUUUAGUCAAACAUGUAAAUUAAAUCAAAAUAUCUCCCAAAUUCCCUGUGAUAAGAAGUGAGGCAAACCAAAACAAAGCCAGCCCUAUAAUUAUCUUUAAAACCACUUAAAACAAAAGCAUCAGAAUGCUGCUGGUUCUUUGAAGCUCUAGUUGUCUGAAGGGCUUCCAUUCAGUGCCAGGGGUACGGCCCCCAUCUGUCUCUCCAAGGCUAGAAAAGAAGGAAAUAAAAUUUCUGGUAAUACUCCAAGGAGAUGCAAAUUAAACUUUAGGAGGCACUUUGGACUGUGCUCCUGGGAAGAUUACAAAAUUUCUUUUUCUACAAAUAGUCCCAUCUUGAAGCCCCGUGAGCAUGGGGUUGAAGGAAUGAGAGGCAGCCACUGCACCCAGGCUAUUGUGCACCUGACAGGUAGCUGAAAUCAAAGCUUCUCAAGUUCAUCCAGUGCAAUGGCAAUGCUGACUCUUCGAUGUAUGGCAGCACUAGAGUAGGUCUUUGAGACUAAUGCUGAGUUCUGGAGCUACUCAGAAAAAGAGGGCAAUUCAAAAAGAGUCACCUCAUAUUCCAUCAACAGCAGUGUGCCACACUCCACUCCAAGAGGAAGGCAGGGAGUGUUCAUGAACUAAAUGUGUGCUAAAGAUCAUGAAGCCAGACCCCCUUUUAAAACUGGAAAACUGAAAAGCCCAGAAGAAUUAAAAACACAGUCAAGGAAAACAGAAUGUAAAAAACUUGGCAGUUUGAUUUGAAAAAUAACUAAAGGGAAUUUUUAGAAGUGAAAAAUAUUAGAAACACAGGGAUAGAUUUAAUAGAAGAUUAGACUUAAUUGAAAAGGUAAUUCGUAAACUUGAAUAAAGAGCUGAAGAAAAUUUGUCUCUAUUUAGAAACAAAUUAGGAAAAAAGAGAUGAAAAUAUACAAAAAGAACCAUGUAGAGUAGAGGGAGAACAUUCAGCAUAAAUUUUAUCUGAUGUAGCAGUAAGGAAUACUAGAAUGAUAGAAAGAUAAUAUUGAAGAAAUAAUAACUGAGAAUUCUCCAGAAUUAAAGAAACACAUAAAACAAAUUAAGAAAGUCCAAGUCCAUGAUUUUCUUUCCUGUGGAAUGUUUCCUUUGUGCCAUAUAUUAGAUUCUAGAUAUAAGUGAUAUAUAAUAUUUGUCUUUUUCUUUCUGACUUCACUCAGUAUGAGAGUCUCUAGUUCCAACCAUGUUGCUGCAAAUGACAUUAUUUUGUUCUUUUGUAUGGCUGAGUAGUAUUCCAUUGUGUAUAUAUACCACAUCUUCCUAAUCCAAUCGUCUGUCGAUGGACAUUUGGGUUGUUU